CCAGAGUGAAUGACUAAUUUGGUCUUAGUGGGAAAACUACCAAGACUCUGAUCAGGAUUUUCCAUCCAAGCAGAACAACUCAGGUGUGUGUUAAAAAUGCAGAUUCCUGGAACCUACUCAUCCAGAAUCAGACCAAGAAAAGAAUGAGAUUCUGCCACAUGUGGAUCUGAUAUUUAAACUGUACUGAUCUUCUGUAUGCUGAAAACUAUAGAAAGCUUAUGAAGGAAAUUGAAGAAGAUAUAAAGAAAUGGAAAAACAUUCUGUGCUCAUGGACUGGAAGAAUAAAUAUUGUCAA
Molecule: long non-coding RNA, 295 nt
Organism: Felis catus (domestic cat)
Lineage: Eukaryota; Metazoa; Chordata; Mammalia; Carnivora; Felidae
Exons: 3
Source: RefSeq, a predicted model, not a curated record